GAGGGUAUAGCUCAGUGGUAGAGCACAUGCUUAGCAUGCAAAAGGUCCUGGGUUCGAUCCCCAGUACCUCCA
RNAcentral lists this transfer RNA (72 nucleotides) under Camelus bactrianus (Bactrian camel). It matches the Rfam family "tRNA". From Rfam's summary of the family: Transfer RNA (tRNA) molecules are approximately 80 nucleotides in length. The record is from Rfam by way of RNAcentral. Lineage: Eukaryota; Metazoa; Chordata; Mammalia; Artiodactyla; Camelidae. RNAcentral also lists the same sequence under 2 other names.